This is a regulatory RNA element of Chania multitudinisentens RB-25, 117 nucleotides long. It matches the Rfam family "Ribosomal S15 leader". From Rfam's summary of the family: The E. coli Ribosomal S15 gene 5' UTR can form two alternative structures. One that is a series of three hairpins, The other includes a pseudoknot. The record is from Rfam. Lineage: Bacteria; Pseudomonadati; Pseudomonadota; Gammaproteobacteria; Enterobacterales; Yersiniaceae.
UUGGGUUGCUGAAUUAGAGAUCGGCGCCUGUAUUUAUUAUCUAUAAUUUGGAGUAUGACAAUGUCUCUAAGUGUUGAAGCUAAAGCUAAAAUUGUAGCUGACUUUGGUCGUGGUACU